CCACCCACUAGUUACUUACUAGUAUUGGCUUCUUGAGUAUUGACUUCUUUAUCUCAAAAAUGGAUAUAAGAAUAUUCUAUUCCUGAGGUUGUUUUGAGGAUAAAACAGAUAAUUUCUAUCUGAAGCUCUUAGCAGAAUGCCUAAUAUCUUCUUCUAGAUGGGAUCGAACUUCCUCCUUUCGCUCAGAGAGGUUUGAUUGUCUGAAGCCUUCUUCUCUCAACUUGUCAAAGUCAUUCUCCAUCUAGGUUUGUCCGUUGCUGAAAACGUCCUAAUAAGAAGAUAAGGUGACCGAAUAAGGGGAUUACUUGGCAGAGAUAUGAGAGAACUGGGUUCUUGACCCCACUUUGCCAUGAACUUGGGUAAGUUACUAAGUCUGUCAGUAUCAUGGUUCCUUGUCUGUAUAACUAGCAACCUUUACAGAGAGCUUCUCUUCCAAUGUUGAUACUUUUUAUUUCUAAGGAUAUAUUUUUUAAACAAUUUCUCUUACAGUUUUCUCAAAAUUAAAUAGUAUUUUUUCAGUGAUAAAGUGAGUAUACUGAGAAUUGAAGAGAUGGAAAAUACAGUUAUGUCUCCCAUAAUAAAUGGGUAAAAAUGCCCAAGCAUCAAAACCGUGGGCUGCUCUAACCUGGAGAGAUGUCUGAUGGUGACAUGAAAAGAUGCACUUUUUAGGAAAAAUCUCAGCCUGAAAUUUAUUCUCUUGCCAAAAUUCAGAGCAACUAUGUUGUUUAACACAUAAUUACAGAGUAAUUUCUUUUUAUGUCAUUUUGACUAUUUCAUUUUAUUUUUGGACGGGCUGCCCAGUUGGAGUGGAGCACAGUUGUCCAUGCAUGAUUACUAAUAACAUCAUUAUCCUGCUAUGUAAUAUGGUUUGUUUACUUAUAUCUAAGAUCUGAAGUUUAUUUAUAAAAUGUUUUAUUGUUAAAAGUGGUUUUUGCUUCUUAUCAUGAGUAUAAAACUGUAUACAUUUUUAUAACACAAAUCUCAUAAUUUUAGACAGACAUAAUAGUAACUACAAUUUGUUAAGCAUAUUUAUACAACAGAAUGUGUACUAGGUAUUUUAUAUAUUUAUUUCAUUUAAGUUUUACAAUAAGCUGGGUAGGUAUUAUCAGCAGUUUGCUGAAAAAGUAUCUGAAUUCCAGGACAUAGGUAACUCACUUAAGGUUGCACAUCUAGUAUAUGGCAGGGUGAGAGGCCCACAAAUAUCAAGUUCAACAUAACUAUUCAGUGCUUAAAAUUCUCUGUAUUAUAUGAAUCUCUAUCUUCAUUUUAAUAUCUGCCAGUAUAUCAUUGUAAAGAUAUAAUUAAUUUUAUUUUAAUAUUUUUAUUAUACAAAAUUUAUUUAAUCAUUUCACCUUUUUCUAAUUUUUGUUAGUGUCAACAGUGUUGCAAUUAAUAUAUUUGUAUACUUGCUUAUAUUUACUUUUUCCGAUGAAAAUGUAAAAGUGAAUUCAAUUUAUCAAUAAAUAUACUUAUUAAAAGUUUGAAAUACACAUUUAAUUGCCCUGCAGAACAUUUCUACUGGGAAUAUGCAAGGGUACCUAUUUUCUUACACCCAUGUCAACACUGAAUAGCAGAAACUGUUAAAAUUUUUCUAAUCUGAUACAUCAAAAUGUUUAUCUUCAUUGAAUUUCAAACUUCUCAUUACUAACAGGGGGACUUCUAAGAAUUCCUUCUUUAGAUUUCAUCUUUAAUAAAUUUUUAAUACAUUUAGUCCAUUUUUCUAAUAACUUGUUUUUUUAUUCAUAAAAUGUCUUUAUUAAAUAAAUCUCUUGCCUAUCAUGUAGA
RNAcentral lists this long non-coding RNA (1785 nucleotides) under Homo sapiens (human). RNAcentral describes it as "HSALNT0323203". The record is from RNAcentral. Lineage: Eukaryota; Metazoa; Chordata; Mammalia; Primates; Hominidae.